This is a small nuclear RNA of Heterocephalus glaber (naked mole-rat), 191 nucleotides long. Its record names the gene U2. It matches the Rfam family "U2 spliceosomal RNA". Rfam says of the family: U2 is a small nuclear RNA (snRNA) component of the spliceosome (involved in pre-mRNA splicing). Complementary binding between U2 snRNA (in an area lying towards the 5' end but 3' to hairpin I) and the branchpoint sequence (BPS) of the intron results the bulging out of an unpaired adenosine, on the BPS, which initiates a nucleophilic attack at the intronic 5' splice site, thus starting the first of two transesterification reactions that mediate splicing. The record is from Ensembl. Lineage: Eukaryota; Metazoa; Chordata; Mammalia; Rodentia; Bathyergidae.
AUCGCUUCUUGGCCUUUUUGGCUAGAUCAAGUAUAGUAUCUGUUUUUAUCAGUUUAAUAUCUGAUAUGUCCUCUAUCCAAGGACAAUACAUUAAAUGGAUUUUUGGAGCUGAGAGACGGAAUAGGCGCUUGCUCCAUCUACUCAACAUGUUGACCUGAUAUUGUAGUACCUCCAGGAACGGUACACAUACA